CCUACGGGAGGCAGCAGUGGGGAAUAUUGCACAAUGGGCGCAAGCCUGAUGCAGCCAUGCCGCGUGUAUGAAGAAGGCCUUCGGGUUGUAAAGUACUUUCAGCGGGGAGGAAGGGAGUAAAGUUAAUACCUUUGCUCAUUGACGUUACCCGCAGAAGAAGCACCGGCUAACUCCGUGCCAGCAGCCGCGGUAAUACGGAGGGUGCAAGCGUUAAUCGGAAUUACUGGGCGUAAAGCGCACGCAGGCGGUUUGUAAGUCAGAUGUGAAAUCCCCGGGCUCAACCUGGGAACUGCAUCUGAUACUGGCAAGCUUGAGUCUCGUAGAGGGGGGUAGAAUUCCAGGUGUAGCGGUGAAAUGCGUAGAGAUCUGGAGGAAUACCGGUGGCGAAGGNGGCCCCCUGGACGAAGACUGACGCUC
Molecule: ribosomal RNA, 417 nt
Filed under: uncultured bacterium
Lineage: Bacteria
Description: bacterial SSU rRNA
Rfam family: Bacterial small subunit ribosomal RNA
Source: RNAcentral